AUAUGAUGUAAUAUCUUAGAAUCUUCGGUCCAGUGCCAAUGUUUGAUAAUAACGAGCAUUUGUUGUUUUCAGGAGGAUUUAAAAUCUGGGAAUGCACUAUGAUCUUCUCCAUUAUUUGAUUGAUAAUAAUAUUGAUCUUUGCGACAAAACCGUCCUAGAUUUAGGUUGUGGUGUUGGAAUUUUAGGCAUGUACGCUCUUCAAAAUGGGGGCCACUGUACAUUUUCAAGACUAUAAUGUCGAUGUUCUGAAAUAUGCUACUAUUCCCAGCGUAUCUCAUAGCUUUGGAAAUACCAUAACUGCAGGUUCUUUGCAGGUGACUGGAGUUUUUUUUGUAAAGAAAACACUUCAACAAAGUAUGACUGCAUAUUGAGUUCAGAAACCAUCUACAAUCCCAAGAAUUAUGAUAAAUUAUGUGCUGUCUUUGAAGAAAAGCUGAAGCCAAAUGGUUAUGGGUAUCCUUUACUUUGUCUAAAUUUUUUGUUGUUUUUUUUUUUUAUUUUUAGUUUCUUCAAUCAACACUCUUUACUCUCUUUCUCUCUCUUUUUUUUUUUCUUUUUUCCUUAUUUUACUAAAAACAUUUUCAAUUUCUCUAACUAAUUUUUUUCUACUGAGCAUUUGAUAUAUGGCAAAAAAUUAAUGAUUUCAAAUCAGGUCAUACAAGAUAGCUUAGGAACCAGAUUUUAUUGGUUCCUAGCCAUCUGCGCACCUCAAUGCUUUUUUCCUAAUAUUUACAGAAAGAUAAAACCUACUUUACAACGCAGUACUCAUAGAACAUAAACUUAAAGUCUAUAGAAAAGUGUACUUUGACACACAGUAAGCCAGGAAUCUCUAAAAUCCGGUUACUUAUCUAACAGACCUAGUAGUUUUAACUAUUCUGUUCAAUCUUUUUGCAGCCCUGUACUAGUGCAGAUCUCUAUCCGAUCAAUUCUGAUUCAAUAAAAUCUCAGACAUCCCUAUUGCUUGAAAAGUGAAAGGAUGGGUAAAUUGAAUAUGUUGACUAAUUCAUGCUGAAUUAAUUUUUUCUUGUUUGGAGAACAAUUUGCAAAUCAUUUCUACAUUUUGUGAGAAUGGUUUGAAUUAAAGAUAUCUAUCAUCAGGUUUUUAAUCUUUUAUCUUCCUUAUAAAUUGAUAAACUCAGACUUUAGGAGCAAAAUCAUUCUAUUUUGGCGUUGGAGGAAGCACAUUGGAAUUCGAGAAAAAGUGGAUGCUAGAAAAAAUUGAAUUGCUCUAAAUGUUGGACAUUUUCAAAUGGUAAGCACUGCUGCUUUUUUUUAAGUAAUGAACAUAUAAAACAAAUUUUGGGUACAUAUUUAGAAUUGUCACUAAAUUAAAUACUUUUAGUUACAUUCAAUUGAUGCCUCUGCAUUCUUCCACGGAAGAGUUUGAUCCCGUUUAGAGAGAGAGAGAGACAGGUCUUUUAUCAAUCGUUUUUCAACUAAUUGUCUUUUGUCACUUCUUAAAAAAAACCAGAGAUCCUUAUUGAUCCAAAUGCUUUUCGCAAUCAAUAAUAGCUCUAGCUCAUAAAGAUAGUAUUAAACUGGGCAAGUUUACUGAAUUCACCACCGAGCCCUUUACUUAAUAAAGGCCUCCCGGAGGUGCAGAUGCAUUUCCGGAGGAAUACACUUUCCAAGAAAUUUUUUGAAAUAUCAUGGCCAUUUGAGUUUAGUUUUAUGCAAUGGACCAAUAAACAAGGUCAAAACUAAAAAUAAACAUUGUAUGUUUUCUUUCUAAAAUCUUACCAAAAAAAAAAAAAAAAAAAAACUGUUCAUACUAAAGAAAGGUCGGAAAUCAACUCCUGAACGAUAUAUCAACAAGUAUUUUUGAAACUGAUCAAAUGGAAAUUAGACUUUACAGCUGACGUCUUUCGUAUUUUUUCCAUUAAAUCAAUGUUGUUUUUAAAACACUCAUAUCUUGUUUAGGUCUAGUACUUCCUGACACAUGAUUUGUUUUCUCGUGAAAUUUUGAAGAAGAAACAUGAAGCAUUCAAUUUAUGUCGUGUUGAGAGGUCUAUUUUACAUUAAAUUGAUGCUGUUGCUUUCAUCAUCAGUGGUAGAUUAAAUUUUGUUAAGGCACCAAAGAUUAUGAAAAAACACAGGGUGCAGCAUCCCUCCAUGCAACAAUCCUACAUUUAAGCCAAGUUAUGUUUUUGUCCUCUAUUCAUUCUCUUCUACGUUUACCAAAUCUGGUGUGUACAUUAAUUUUAGUGCCAGAAAUGAGCUGUAAUAUAUUUGAUUUGACCUAUCUUUAUGUUCUUCUUUGAUUUCAGGCCUUCAGAGAGAGAUCCUGAAAAUUUCACUCCUUAGUGAUGAUUAUAAUUGAACAGCAAUGUGAGUACUACUAUUCUUUGUUUUUAUUUACUUCCCUCUUGUGCAGUUUUUUGCAUUUCAGAUUAUUUAUCUCAAAGUAGAUUGAUGGAGGCUGACUAUUUAACCGCGUGUCAGUCAACUUUCGCCUCCAUUAAUAUGUUGACUGCCCCACCAAGCAAUAUGAUCAGGAGGAAGAGUUUCUGUCAGUCAUGUUUGCAGACCCACCAAUUGUAAGAAUUCUCCUAAAGCUGUUGUGGGCAAACAUGUUAUGACUGCAAUGACAAGCUAACUGAAAGGAUGUAUUUUAGUCAAGGGAUUGAAGAAAAAAUUGGCUAAAAAAAAAAUAGAAAUUAAUUGCAUCGGCAAUCACAGCCGGAAUUUUGGAGGACCAAAAUUCCCUCCGAUCCAAUUUAUUGCUUGCUCCCA
This 2733-nucleotide long non-coding RNA is filed under the name Bemisia tabaci. RNAcentral describes it as "lncRNA ENSSWEETPG006538". Lineage: Eukaryota; Metazoa; Arthropoda; Insecta; Hemiptera; Aleyrodidae. The record is from RNAcentral.